CCGGGACAUACGCAGACUCCCGGCCAAGGCGGUGUCCAAUCGCCCAAGUCCUGC
Molecule: non-coding RNA, 54 nt
Organism: Betaproteobacteria bacterium
Lineage: Bacteria; Pseudomonadati; Pseudomonadota; Betaproteobacteria
Source: Rfam